Molecule: transfer RNA, 73 nt
Filed under: Candidatus Pacearchaeota archaeon
Lineage: Archaea; Nanobdellati
Description: tRNA-Met
Rfam family: tRNA
About the family: Transfer RNA (tRNA) molecules are approximately 80 nucleotides in length.
Source: RNAcentral
GGGCACUUAAUUCAGUGGUUAGAAUCUCCGUCUCAUACGCGGCCAGUCCUCAGUUCGAAUCUGAGAGUGCCCA